RNAcentral lists this transfer RNA (74 nucleotides) under Nippostrongylus brasiliensis. It matches the Rfam family "tRNA". Rfam says of the family: Transfer RNA (tRNA) molecules are approximately 80 nucleotides in length. Their secondary structure includes four short double-helical elements and three loops (D, anti-codon, and T loops). Lineage: Eukaryota; Metazoa; Nematoda; Chromadorea; Rhabditida; Heligmosomidae. The record is from Rfam by way of RNAcentral.
GUCUCAGUGGCGUAGUGGUUAGCGCACUAGGCCAAUACAGGCGCGAGACGCGAGUUCGAAUCCCGCCCGAGAUG